GACGAACGCUGGCGGCGUGCCUAAUACAUGCAAGUAGAACGCUGAAGGAGGAUCUUGCUUCUCUGGAUGAGUUGCGAACGGGUGAGUAACGCGUAUGUAACCUGCCUGAUAUCGGGGGAUAACUAUUGUAAACGAUAGCUAAUACCGCAUAUUAUUGACUAUUGCAUGAUAUUCAGUUUAAAGUUGCAACUGCACCACUACCAGAUGGAGCUGCGUUGUAUUGGCUAGUGGUUGGGGUAACGGCUCACCAAGGCGACGAUACAUACCCGACAGGAGAGGGGGGUGGGCGAACCUGGGAAUGAGAACCGGGCCAGAGUCCUGAGGGAGGCAGCAGUAGGGAAUCGUGGGUAAUAGACGGAAGUCUGAACGAGGAACGCCGCGUGAGUGAAGAAGGUUGUCGGAUCGUAAAGUUCUGUCGUCAGAGAAGAACGAGUGUGAGAGUGGAAAGCUCACAUUGUGACGGUAGCUUAAGAGAAAGCGACGGCUAACUACGUG
RNAcentral lists this ribosomal RNA (495 nucleotides) under uncultured bacterium. RNAcentral's name for it is "partial 16S ribosomal RNA". It matches the Rfam family "Bacterial small subunit ribosomal RNA", at positions 28 to 507 of the family's 1533-position model. The record is from RNAcentral.